GAUGAACGCUGGCGGCGUGCCUAAUACAUGCAAGUCGAGCGAACAGACGAGGAGCUUGCUCCUCUGACGUUAGCGGCGGACGGGUGAGUAACACGUGGAUAACCUACCUAUAAGACUGGGAUAACUUCGGGAAACCGGAGCUAAUGCCGGAUAAUAUAUUGAACCGCAUGGUUCAAUAGUGAAAGACGGUUUUGCUGUCACUUAUAGAUGGAUCCGCGCCGCAUUAGCUAGUUGGUAAGGUAACGGCGUACCAAGGCAACGAUGCGUAGCCGACCUGAGAGGGUGAUCGGCCACACUGGAACUGAGACACGGUCCAGACGCCUACGGGAGGCAGCAGUAGGGAAUCUUCCGCAAAGGGCGAAAGCUUGACGGAGCAACGCCGCGUGAGUGAUGAAGGUCUUCGGAUCGUAAAACUCUGUUAUUGGGGAAGAACAAAUGUGUAAGUAACUAUGCACGUCUUGACGGUACCUGAUCAGAAAGCCACGGCUAACUACGUG
This 497-nucleotide ribosomal RNA is filed under the name uncultured bacterium. RNAcentral's name for it is "partial 16S ribosomal RNA". It matches the Rfam family "Bacterial small subunit ribosomal RNA", at positions 28 to 507 of the family's 1533-position model. The record is from RNAcentral.